UUAGGUUGGUGCAAAAGUAAUUGCAGUUUUUCCGUUACUUUUAAUGGCAAAAACUGCAAUUACUUUUGCACCAACCUAAUA
Molecule: microRNA precursor, 81 nt
Filed under: Pan paniscus (pygmy chimpanzee)
Lineage: Eukaryota; Metazoa; Chordata; Mammalia; Primates; Hominidae
Description: miRNA (ENSPPAG00000006674.1)
Source: RNAcentral